AUGUACAUGCAGUCUUGGAACAUCCCCAGCUGCUCACCUGCAGCAAGAUGGACACAUUGCCACUCAAGUGUUGCCAGCUCCUUGGGGUUACACAAGGCAGGCUUGCACCUGAAACCUGAACUGCGUCUGGCACCGAGAUGGCUGCACAGAGCUGCCCUCCUUUCUCAUGAGGUUGGCUGUGACCAUUGGUUUGCAUGUUGGGAAAAGCAUCCGCUUAACAAGCCGGUUGUCACCUCUCCAGUCAUAGGAUAAAAAUGAAUGAGAUAAAGAAGAGCCAGGUUAGAGUCUGGGGAACAUUUUCUGACGCAAAGUGUAUGAGGCAGUAGCCCUGACUGCCCAGGAAUGCAUGUGUGAGAGAAGCUUGACACUUAAAGGUUUCAGCAAGGUGCUAUCGUUCCUGGAUCUCAUCCAGUCAUACGAACAAGCAAGCCUUCACUCAGGAUUAUCAACAAGAAAUUCCUUCCUAGGAUAAAUGAAUGGCUGAUGAUGAU
Molecule: long non-coding RNA, 491 nt
Organism: Phasianus colchicus (ring-necked pheasant)
Lineage: Eukaryota; Metazoa; Chordata; Aves; Galliformes; Phasianidae
Source: RefSeq, a predicted model, not a curated record